Micropterus dolomieu (smallmouth bass) is the source of this 897-nucleotide long non-coding RNA. RefSeq lists it as uncharacterized. NCBI's taxonomy places the organism in Eukaryota, Metazoa, Chordata, Actinopteri, Centrarchiformes, Centrarchidae. The record is from RefSeq and is a predicted model, not a curated record. The transcript has 3 exons.
UUCAACUGUUGUCCCAAGAAGAUUUAUCAAACGCAUGUUAAUAAAAGCUUCGUUUUCAGGGAGGACAGUCCAGCUUCUAGGCUAGCUAAAUUACGACAAGCACAGAGAAUUAUUUUUGGUGCGCUAAUUUCGGCGCUAAUUAGCUGCAUAAGAAAAUACAUUUUAGUGGUGGACAGUUAUAAACACCACUGUCACUUGAAGAGGAGAGGGGCCAAAUUCAUCCAUAAAGAAGGGACAUUUAUGCUGCUGUGAAGUGGAAAAGGAUCUUCAGUGCAGAGAUGAGAAUGCAGGCUGCAGGGGUCGAGUCCCCUGGCCCCGGGGACUUGCCUCCUCCUCCACCUCUAUUCCAGACCGAGGGGCCCGUGCAGGGGCUGCGAGAUGCUGAUCGGAAUCCUGCAUUGUCUGUGAGGCCCUCACAUGUCUAAGCUAAAAGUCAAAUAGUGUUGUGACAUGUUGUGGGAAGUGUAAGUGACAAACACUCACAUACAAAUGUAUUCUGGCAAGGUGUGCACAAACUCAUGGUGCACCAGUGUGUCUGUGGGGCACAUUUGCAUGAGACACAUGAGCAGAGAGGCAUUCACAUAAACACACACACUACAAACCAGUCUCUUACUGCAAUCCUAAUUCUGCCCCUCAGCUCAGACUGAGCUGUCUGCAUUAAAAGACAAGACUUCUAAGAGAUGAUUUCCGGAGAAUAUGCUCAGAUCUAUGAUCUUAGGUCCAUGCAACUGUUUUUGUUUUUGGUUUGCAACCUCUACUUCUUGUUUAUUACAGCAAUGCUUAACAUCAACGUCUGACGUAACUACGCUUUGCAUAGAGUGGUGUAUUUGCUCCAAACCAGUUAAUGGAAAAUGCCUAAAUCACAUUAUCUUUUUUUUUUAUUAUUUCCUUUUUACA